AAUACCCAAUCCUGACACAGGGAGGUAGUGACAAGAAAUAACAAUACGGGGCUUAAUGUCUUGUAAUUGGAAUGAUGGGAAUUUAAACCUCUUCCAGAGUAUCAAUUGGAGGGCAAGUCUGGUGCCAGCAGCCGCGGUAAUUCCAGCUCCAAUAGCGUAUAUUAAAAUUGUUGCAGUUAAAAAGCUCGUAGUUGAAUUUCUGCUGCAUUGCAUUUUCUCCUAUACGAGUUUUUGCAUUGUGGCUUAUUUCGGUUAUAAAAUUUAUUUUUAUUUCCGGAUGUUUACUUUGAGAAAAUUAGAGUGCUCAAAGCAGGCUUUUGCCUUGAAUAGUUUAGCAUGGAAUAAUAAAGUAGGACUUUGGUUCUAUUUUGUUGGUUUUAGGUACCAAAGUAAUGGUUAAUAGGAACAGUUGGGGGCAUUCGUAUUUAA
Molecule: ribosomal RNA, 429 nt
Filed under: Theileria sp. 1 JY-2013
Lineage: Eukaryota; Apicomplexa; Aconoidasida; Piroplasmida; Theileriidae
Description: SSU rRNA
Rfam family: Eukaryotic small subunit ribosomal RNA
Source: RNAcentral